UCCAAUGAAAACCGCUGCCAGGGGGACAUUUGAACUCCGCCGCUCGCUGUCUGGCUCUCCUCUCCCGGCCCAGUGCACCUCUCUCCCCCCCUCCCGGCCGGCGCACUCGCUAGCGCGCUCGCUCGCUCGCUCUGCCGCUACCCGACGAGUCCUCAACAAGUUGGAGUAAGGCAGGAACGCAGGGGUUAAGCUCGGAAAGCCGCAAUUACCAAGAUCGUGACCCUCCCACACAGUACUGUAACUUAUAUACUUACCUGGAAGAGCCUGCUUUGCCACUGGGCCAACACCCGUGGGGGGCGGGGAAGGGCGGGAGGGGAGCGGACCGGUUGGAGAGGGGCUCCUUCAAGCUGGCUGCAGUGCGGACUGGACCGGCGCGCCCCCGCGGCCUCGGGACCAGGUGAUCAAAAGUGCCCUGACACCCAGAGGUCUGCGUGAGGGGCGGCCACCAAAGGAAGGGGUCUCAGGCCACAGGAGCUGAAGAGUCUGGACAGAUGAACUCUGGAGUCUCAGGAAAAUAAAAGUUUUAUCUCCUGAGGAACCUUGAAGAUUCUUUUAAAGGUGAAACGUUUCGUCUUUCGGAAGAUGGGGUGCAAGAGGAUGGUCCUGUCCCAGGUCUUGGAGAGGUCAGGAUGCCACCAGAAUUGCACACCUUCUCAUCUGAGCUUAAAGGAGACGUUAAGUGUGAUAUUUUGAACUAUGUUUAAAUGAAGAUGAGAUAGAAGACAAUAGAACUGUUAGAAAUAUGUAAGUUUUAUUGUACAGCCAAAUAAGGAUUCAGCUGUUGUAGUGUGUUCUUUAAGAUUCCUAGUUUCUAUGUAAUUCUCUAAUUUUGUUUCAUUCUAUUGAACUACUCCUGAUUUCACCCUGAAAAUCUGACCUGAAACUCAAUUACAGAAAUACUGCCAAUGAAUUUAAAAUCAAAUGGGAACAUUUGUAUAUGAAUACGAUACAAUAUUGUUGAUUCACAUUUCUUUCCAUAUUAAAGACUAUUCUGAACUCUAAAUCUUUUAAAUAAAUGAGACUGAAAUCCA
Sus scrofa (pig) is the source of this 1031-nucleotide long non-coding RNA. RefSeq lists it as uncharacterized. The record is from RefSeq and is a predicted model, not a curated record. NCBI's taxonomy places the organism in Eukaryota, Metazoa, Chordata, Mammalia, Artiodactyla, Suidae.